CAAUUUAUAAUUACUAUUAGGAAUUGCAAGCUGGUUGUUUGAAUCCGUGAAUUCUCACUUUACUUUUAUUGCGGCACUCAUCAUGACAACUAUUCGGUGGGCUCUAUUCGCUGUCGCUCUUUUCUGCAGUGUUCUCACUCCAGUGCAUGGCCGCAUUCUUGGUGUGCAGAGUCGGUACACUGCAUACUUCGAUGCAGCGAAAAACGCAGGGGUUUUCCGUUGCCUAGAUGGCUCGGCCACCAUCCCCUUUAGUUCUGUAAACAAUGACAUAUGCGACUGCGCUGAUGGCAGUGAUGAGCCAGGCACAGCAGCAUGCACUGCACUUCGCGGCAGCGCUCUCACGCUGUUUCCACAGGAUUGGAAGUUCCAGUGUACAGCUGAAGAGCAUGUUUCACAAGAGUUUCUUCACAAUCACGUAAACGACGGAAUCUGUGACUGCUGUGACGGCUCCGACGAGGCCGAAUCGCCCACCUUAUGCCCGAAUCGAUGCGCAGAGGUGGCUAGAGAGCUUGUGCGGCAGCGAGAGGCCGAGCAGGAGCGGAGCAGAAAGGCUGCAGUGAGCAAGGCAGUGAUGCACUCCGCCGCACUGCGGCGCCGGAAAGAAGCGGCGAAAUCCCUGGCUGAGCUGGAGACGGAGUACGCCCAGAUAGUAGCGGAUCUACCGGCACUUGAGGCGAGGAAGGCGGCUGCCGAGAAGGAGCAGGAAGCACGAUGGACUGAGCUGGAAAUGGAACAGAAUGAAUCGGAGGCUGGUCAUUACGGGAGCGAAUUCAGUGAUGACGCGACAUCUUGCAUCCGAUGGUGCCAAACAGGCGGCUGUAUUGGCACUGGUCCGCGCGAAAGUCACAGGGACAAGUCGUGCUCCAACGUCAUCGAUCGAGAUAGCUCAGGGUAUUGUGAGUGCAAGACGAAUGAUGAGAAGGACGAGCGUGAAGAGGAUGAAGAAGGUGCCGAGCGUGAGGCCGAGGGUGAAGGAACGGAGAUGCGCAAUGGUACCAUCGCAUACCGCUUUUCAUGUGGUCACCCUGAGUUAACAUGUAUGUAUGUAUGCGACCACAGCGGUGAAGUGGGUGUUGGCAAGAAGCCCGAAAAGCUGCAAAACUUCGCGAUCUUGGACGAGGUGCGAGAGGCUAGUGAGUCUCUCGAGAGGAAGAAGAGUCGAUUGGAGGAAGUGGAGAGGGCGAUGGAGGCGGCAAAGAAGCUGCUAUCUUCUGCGACGAUCACCACGGAAGAUCUGCUUCGCACACUCGAGAGGGAAGAGUUCACGAUUGAUUUCCAAGAGUACACUUACGCGGUUAUCAUGUUUGACAAAGUGUACCAGCGCAAUAUCGGGAUGACGACGGGUGGGAGUCUUCUGGGCUCGUGGAAGUCGUUUGCAGAAAACACAUACUCUGUGUGGGCUAAAGACGCACACGAUUUGUCCCAGAUGAUCUACGACAACGGGUUGAGAUGCUGGAACGGCGUGGUGCGCAACGUCGAGGUGCAUCUUGUAUGUGGCCCGGAGAACAAGCUGAUGACGGUGGAGGAGCCUUCCAUGUGCAACUACCGCAUGGUUUUUGAGACGCCGGCGAUGUGUGACGAUUGAGUCACGACUUUCGCCCUCCCUUUUCUGUUUUUUUUUUUCUUUCAGUAGCUCUUUUCUCGCUCGGCAGAACAUCUGCACAGUGGCGCAUCGGCGCCGUCUCCAUCUUCUUUCAAUGGGCUGCUGCUUCUUGAUUUCCGACCAAAACGGACUCGCGCACAUACGCUCUGGAGGUAUGCGUCUCUUUCCCCCCGUCAGCUGUUCUUGUAUUCGUUUUUUUUUUUGUGUCUUUGUGGGAUGGGUCGGCAGGUCCUUUUUUUGUUCUUACGGACUUCGCCGCACCCCCUUAACAGAGAAGUACUAAGUCGAUCACCACAGCGCCG
This 1905-nucleotide unclassified non-coding RNA is filed under the name Leishmania donovani. RNAcentral's name for it is "gene:LdHU3.26.1240(CDS-product:Glucosidase_II_bet a_subunit-like_protein_putative)". The record is from RNAcentral. Lineage: Eukaryota; Euglenozoa; Kinetoplastea; Trypanosomatida; Trypanosomatidae.